ACUAACGAGGAUUCCUUGGUAACGGCGAGUGAAGAGGGAAGAGCCCAGCACCGAAGUCUGCAGCAGUUUUGCUGUUAGGCAAUGUGGUGUGUGGGUCGGCUCGCGGGAUCAUCACUCCACUCGAAGUCCAGCAUUGAGUAUGGCUAUUACUGGAAUUGGCCCAUAGAGGGUGAGAGGCCCGUACGGGUGGAGGUUCAGACAUGUGGGAUGGUUCACCAGGCCGACCUCAGAGUCGGGUUGUUUGAGAUUGCAGCCCAAAGAGGGUGGUAAACUCCAUCCAAGGCUAAAUAUUGCCACGAGUCCGAUAGCGAACAAGUACCAUGAGGGAAAGUUGAAAAGUACUCUGAAGAGAGAGUAAACAGUACGUGAAGCCGUAUGCAGGUAAACGGGUGGCGUCAAGCUGCGAGCUCGGAGGAUUCAGCUGACUGGGAUGUAGUGUACGCGUGCCUGGUGCGUCGAGAGGUCGGAAUAAGAUGUGGCGGUCCACUCCUGAGUAGGGAGUGGGGUGCGAAAGGUGUGCGCUUGCGUGUAUGCCGAUCGUCGCUAUGCAUGCCGGGUGGGUGCCGGAGCAUGCCGCUCAUCUGUUGGGCCACCUAGUCAGUGCAUUUUCUCUGUGGUGAACACCACGACCGGUGGAACUGCCAGUCUGCUGUGAUCAAGUCGUAAUCUCCUGGCGCAUUACUGUGUUAGGUGGGUACGAUCGCAGAUGGAGUCGGUGGACGGCGCAGUGGUGCUUCGGUGCUGCCGCGUGUUAUCGUGCACUCUCUGUCGUAAGCGGUUAGUGGGGUUGUUGACUAGGUACUGUGACUGCUUCCCCGGUAGCUGGCGGAUCACAGUGGUGAAAGGGACUGUGCAGGGCACUGGAGUUGUCCACCUCAUUCAAUUAUGGUACUCGACACACACGUUACAGGUGUUAUGCAAUCGAGAUGUGCCGCUGUCUGCCUGGUGUUGAGCCUGACUGUGGUGUUGCCUGCGUAAAGUGGGUGCGGCAGUGGUUUCCAUGCUUGGUAAUGGCAGUGUGUUGCGUGUCUCGGGUGUCUGUAGUACCGGGGGUGAGAUAGUCAGUGGUGCUGUGAGA
RNAcentral lists this ribosomal RNA (1078 nucleotides) under Staphylepis ambilateralis. RNAcentral's name for it is "eukaryotic LSU rRNA". It matches the Rfam family "Eukaryotic large subunit ribosomal RNA", at positions 64 to 637 of the family's 3401-position model. Lineage: Eukaryota; Metazoa; Platyhelminthes; Cestoda; Cyclophyllidea; Hymenolepididae. The record is from RNAcentral.